RNAcentral lists this long non-coding RNA (2131 nucleotides) under Canis lupus familiaris (dog). Its description in RNAcentral is "lncRNA (ENSCAFG00000058470.1)". The record is from RNAcentral. Lineage: Eukaryota; Metazoa; Chordata; Mammalia; Carnivora; Canidae.
UCCCAGCCUCCCACUCCCACAGAGUGGUUGAAUAUGCAUAAAUCAAAUGCACUUUAAUUCAAGAACGCUCUCUACUUCAAACAUUAGAGAUGUCUUUUGGCCUCUCAGUUCUAUCCUGAAGCUUGCUUCCUGUUCUGUGCUCAAAACGAGCUCAAAACAAUUGUAUGCCUGAGAUACUGUUUCCAUGGAAGAAGUUUAAUGAAUUCUAGCAACCUUAAUUAGACAAAUUAAAUAGCCACACAAAACCUAUGUCUGGGCACCACCAAUCCUUCUGAUUAUCUAGAAAGACUGGCAAUUUUUUUCUUUCCCGGACAAAGCCCUGUUCUUUUCAAAUUUUUAUUUGUUCUUUGUUGCCUUUCUUCUAUGAAAUGAUUCACUCACUUGGUUGACUUUUGAUGUAGUACCUGAGUGUUUUUAAAAGGCAUGAAGGUUAAAACCUGUUCCAUUUCUGAUACUUUUGCAUGUGGUAAAAUGUAAACUAUUUGAAAUGGCUGAAGUGAAUGCUUGGUGUACAUUUGUAUUGAUAUGUGCGGUGGGAGUGGAGUGCAGGAGGACUGGAGUUCACAACUUCUCAGCAAAGUGUUACACCUCUCAGAACGGACAUCUAGACCACACAGUUACCCUUUUGCUAUGGAUGGGUGUGUCUUCCUCAGUUCUCACUUUGUAGAGCUGCACUUUUUAAAGUUCAGCUCAGACAGCUGCUGGCACAAAGAGGGCCAUACUGAAGACUCCAUGGAGAGAGUAAGAAUGUUCUCCCCUGUGUCUGGACACAGGACGCGUCUUAAGGAAUAAGAGGGCAGCUCGCUGCUUUUGGCGGAGCCCCAGAGUUGGAGCAAGGACCGGCCUGCAGUGGGAGAUGCUGACUUGUGCCACGCUCGGUAUGGAGGGGAGGGAGCCCCUGCUCCGUCCCAGGGCCUACCGGGUUCACACCAGAGUGGCACUGCCAGGGGACCCGGAGCCACCGCAGAGAGUCAGCCCCAAGCGCCACGUGUCUCAGACUCAGGACAGCCUCAGGUAGGACUGCCCUCCCCAGACACCCCGAAGCUGCCAGAGCCUACAAGCACUAAGUCCUUCUGGGGGCUCCAGAGUGCAAGGGCUCUUCUGAACCUGGCUUGGGAGUCAGCCAAGAAUCUGAUGGCAAACGACGAUCUCAGAAUGACUUUGGGAAUUUGGAACUCAGUGCUGGGUGACACCCUCUGUUUCCAUUAUUAUCGUCAUGAUCAUUAACUUCGCAAUUACAUUUAUUUGAACACCUACCCACCAGGCACUGUGCCAAGUACUUUGUUUCUAAUUGUUACAAUUUCUCCAGAAGGUAUUAUUAGCUCCAUGUUACAAAAGUGAAAAUGAGCCCCAGAGAGGCUAAAUAACUUUCUUAAGGCUCACAGCUAGGAAAAGGCUUCCCUUCUCAGCUCCAAAAUCCAUUAAUGACUGCUCAUUACCUAGAGUCGCUGUUUGUAUCCCUAUUUCAAAGAACACGGUGGUGGUGGGGGGGGGUGCCACAGAGGGACUUCAGGAGCCACCUCAAGGGCAAGAUCAUGUGGCAGGUUCCAGGGUUCCUCCCCGCAGAGCACAUUUUGAUGAAGCUUCUCUGAUUUCCUCUAUUUUCGAUACCAGUCAUCCAAGUAAGAUUAAAUUUGAUUUCUUCAGGGCUCUGCUCUAAUAUUUGAAAAAAAAAAGAAAAAAGAAAAAAAGAAAAACAAAGAGUGGAAGGAAUUGAAAUAGGAAGGGAGGGAUGAAGGGCGAAAAAGAUUUUUAAAAAGCCAUUGUCAUAAAGGAGAAAAUCUAAACUUCUCAAUUGUGGUAUUUCAGGACCUUCCGAAACUUUCCCCAAGACAUCAUCCCACCUAUAACCACAAUCCCUGUUCUUGAUUAUUUCAGCUCCCAUCACACUGGCCAAAUUGUUGUUUCUGGAGCUCUCCUCUUGUCUAUUUGCCUCUGUGUCUCUCUUCUUCAGUCUCCCAAGCCUGUGCCCUCCAUUCCUGCUGUUACACAGCUUCUGCCCCUUGAAGACUUCCCUAGUACACCCCGCCUGGAAGUUACUCAGAAGGGUGGAGGGGCAGUGGGUGGGGGUGGGUGGAAGGUGCCACUGGCAUCUGGUGGGUAGGGCCCCUGGGUAGGGCCCCGGGAUGCU